This 305-nucleotide ribosomal RNA is filed under the name uncultured bacterium. RNAcentral's name for it is "bacterial SSU rRNA". It matches the Rfam family "Bacterial small subunit ribosomal RNA", at positions 337 to 656 of the family's 1533-position model. The record is from RNAcentral.
CCCUACGGGAGGCAGCAGUGGGGAAUAUUGGGCAAUGGGCGCAAGCCUGACCCAGCAACGCCGCGUGAAGGAAGAAGGCUUUCGGGUUGUAAACUUCUUUUCUCAGGGACGAAGAAAGUGACGGUACCUGAGGAAUAAGCCACGGCUAACUACGUGCCAGCAGCCGCGGUAAUACGUAGGUGGCAAGCGUUAUCCGGAUUUACUGGGUGUAAAGGGCGUGUAGGCGGGGAAGCAAGUCAGAUGUGAAAGGCUGGGGCUCAACCCCAGGACUGCAUUUGGAACUGUCAUGCUAGAGUGUCGGGGAG